UAGGGAAUCUUCCGCAAUGGACGAAAGUCUGACGGAGCAACGCCGCGUGAGUGAUGAAGGUUUUCGGAUCGUAAAACUCUGUUGUUAGGGAAGAACAAGUUGGGUAGUAACUGACCCAACCUUGACGGUACCUAACCAGAAAGCCACGGCUAACUACGUGCCAGCAGCCGCGGUAAUACGUAGGUGGCAAGCGUUGUCCGGAAUUAUUGGGCGUAAAGCGCUCGCAGGCGGUCUUUUAAGUCUGAUGUGAAAGCCCACGGCUUAACCGUGGAGGGUCAUUGGAAACUGGAGGACUUGAGUACAGAAGAGGAGAGUGGAAUUCCACGUGUAGCGGUGAAAUGCGUAGAGAUGUGGAGGAACACCAGUGGCGAAGGCGACACUCUGGUCUGUAACUGACGCUGAGGAGCGAAAGCGUGGGUAGCGAACAGG
Molecule: ribosomal RNA, 429 nt
Filed under: Bacillota bacterium
Lineage: Bacteria; Bacillati; Bacillota
Description: Firmicutes bacterium partial 16S ribosomal RNA
Rfam family: Bacterial small subunit ribosomal RNA
Source: RNAcentral